RNAcentral lists this ribosomal RNA (253 nucleotides) under uncultured bacterium. RNAcentral describes it as "partial 16S ribosomal RNA". It matches the Rfam family "Bacterial small subunit ribosomal RNA", at positions 524 to 776 of the family's 1533-position model. The record is from RNAcentral.
UACAGAGGUCCCGAGCGUUGUUCGGAUUCACUGGGCGUAAAGAGCGCGCAGGCGGUCGUACAAGUCGCGUGUGAAAGCCCCCGGCUCAACUGGGGAGGGUCACGCGAUACUGUUCGACUCGAAGGCAGGAGAGGGAAGCGGAAUUCCCGGUGUAGUGGUGAAAUGCGUAGAUAUCGGGAGGAACACCAGUGGCGAAGGCGACUUCCUGGCCUGUUCUUGACGCUGAGGCGCGAAAGCUAGGGGAGCAAACGGG